RNAcentral lists this non-coding RNA (32 nucleotides) under Geobacter sulfurreducens PCA. The record is from RNAcentral. Lineage: Bacteria; Pseudomonadati; Thermodesulfobacteriota; Desulfuromonadia; Geobacterales; Geobacteraceae.
GCCUGUUCCCCCUCGUCGGCCAGGUUGUUGUG